This 161-nucleotide small nuclear RNA is filed under the name Triticum aestivum (bread wheat). RNAcentral's name for it is "snRNA U1". It matches the Rfam family "U1 spliceosomal RNA". From Rfam's summary of the family: U1 is a small nuclear RNA (snRNA) component of the spliceosome (involved in pre-mRNA splicing). The record is from RNAcentral. Lineage: Eukaryota; Viridiplantae; Streptophyta; Magnoliopsida; Poales; Poaceae.
AUACUUACCUGGACGGGGUCGACGGCUGAUCAAGAAGAGUCGUGGCCUAGGCUAGUGGUCCACAUUGCACUUGGUGGAUGCGCUGGCCUACCAUCUCCCCAAGUGGGAGAGUGGACGUCGUAAUUUGUGGUAGAGGGGGUACGCGUUCGCGCGGCCCCUAC